RNAcentral lists this unclassified non-coding RNA (766 nucleotides) under soil metagenome. RNAcentral's name for it is "partial contains internal transcribed spacer 1, 5.8S ribosomal RNA, and internal transcribed spacer 2". The stretch from base 164 to 317 matches the Rfam family "5.8S ribosomal RNA". The record is from RNAcentral.
CAGAGUUGAAAAACUCCCUAACCCUUUGUUUACAUACCUGUUCAGUUGCUUCGGCAGGCGGCCCCAGGGCGGGGCCUCCAGCCUGCUCACGCAGGUGCCUGCCGCUGGCGCAAAAAAACUCUGUUAUAUAUUACCACUCUGAGUCUAAAAACAAAUGAAUCAAAACUUUCAACAACGGAUCUCUUGGUUCUGGCAACGAUGAAGAACGCAGCGAAAUGCGAUAAGUAAUGUGAAUUGCAGAAUUCAGUGAAUCAUCGAAUCUUUGAACGCACAUUGCGCCCAUUAGUAUUCUAGUGGGCAUGCCUGUUCGAGCGUCAUUACAACCCUCAAGCGCUGUAGUGCUUGGUGUUGGGGCAUCUGCUGCUUAUAGCAGGCCCUGAAAGAUAGCGGCGAGCUCGCCGUGACCCUGAGCGUAGUAGUUUACACCUCGCUUCUGUGGUUCAUAGCGGGUCUUCAGCCGUGAAAACCCCCUAAUUUUCACAAGGUUGACCUCGGAUCAGGUAGGAAUACCCGCUGAACUUAAGCAUAUCAAUAAGCGGAGGAAUCGGCAUCUUGGUCAUUUAGAGGAAGUAAAAGUCGUAACAAGGUCUCCGUUGGUGAACCAGCGGAGGGAUCAUUACCGAGUUUACAACUCCCAAACCCCUGUGAACAUACCACUUGUUGCCUCGGCGGAUCAGCCCGCUCCCGGUAAAACGGGACGGCCCGCCAGAGGACCCCUAAACUCUGUUUCUAUAUGUAACUUCUGAGUAAAACCAUAAAUAAAUCA